UACGUAGGGGCUAGCGUUAUCCGGAAUUACUGGGCGUAAAGGGUGCGUAGGUGGUUUCUUAAGUCAGAGGUGAAAGGCUACGGCUCAACCGUAGUAAGCCUUUGAAACUGGGAAACUUGAGUGCAGGAGAGGAGAGUGGAAUUCCUAGUGUAGCGGUGAAAUGCGUAGAUAUUAGGAGGAACACCAGUUGCGAAGGCGGCUCUCUGGACUGUAACUGACACUGAGGCGCGAAAGCGUGGGGAGCAAACAGGAUUAGAUACCCUGGUAGUCCCUGAG
This 276-nucleotide ribosomal RNA is filed under the name uncultured prokaryote. Its description in RNAcentral is "partial 16S ribosomal RNA". It matches the Rfam family "Bacterial small subunit ribosomal RNA", at positions 524 to 801 of the family's 1533-position model. The record is from RNAcentral.